CGGGAAGCCAGGCGGCGACGCCGAGCGGACCCGAAAGCCGUUCUCAGUUCGGAUCGGAGUCUGCAACCCGACUCCGUGAAGCUGGAUUCGCUAGUAAUCGCGCAUCAGCCAUGGCGCGGUGAAUACGUUCCCGGGCCUUGUACACACCGCCCGUCAAGCCAUGGGAGCCGGGGGUGCUUGAAGUGCGUCGCCGCGAGGCGCGCCCUAGAGCAAAACCGGUGACUGGGGCUAAGUCGUAACAAGGUACC
Molecule: ribosomal RNA, 248 nt
Filed under: uncultured bacterium
Lineage: Bacteria
Description: partial 16S ribosomal RNA
Rfam family: Bacterial small subunit ribosomal RNA
Source: RNAcentral